AACUUGACGAGAGGUCAGGUGCGUGAAUAUUUCGGACUCCAAUUUUAAGCCCUAGUUAUCGAUGUCACAAAUGCGUUAUCUCACUUUCCAUGCAGAAAAACACAUCGUGCAAUGCAUACUAUUUCAGAAAUAAGGUUUAAAAAAUUGUAAUGCGAAUCGUGUAAUGUCGCAUAGCUCUGUGUGAUAUGGUUGCCCCAUGAAAACUUCCGGUUUCGCUGCAAAUGAAAUACUUUCAAUGUUAGCCUAUUCAUCUCGAUUUACCUCGAAAUAAGAUGAAAUUACGUCUGUUUGCAACGUCAUCCGUCUCAACCUACACGAACAGAGUCUGUUUCCAUGACUGUAGAGUGUCCAUGCUGAACAUUAAUUGUGUACUUGAUUCUUGAAUCAAACAAAUAUUUCAUGAUUUGAUUUACCACUGUCUGUAAUGCGGUGAACAAAGAUAACAUUAACGUUCUGUGCGGAACUUCUAUAUUUUCGGCAUUAAUUUUCCAUGCAAUAAGGAUUAGGAAAUCGAUAAUUCCAACUGGAAGAGCAAAACAUUGUCAGAAAAAUGGCUAUCAACGAAGAUCGAUUCUCCACGACAGCAGAACGAUAUCUAGCAAAGCACAAUGUGCUGACGUAUCUGGAGGAUGGAAUCUCCCAGCUCCUGGAACAUCGGGAAGACAACCCCAAAGUCAACGCCGUCAAGUUCAUCAGUGAUUACUUUGCAAGUCUGCGUGAUGGCAACCACACCAUGUUCCGCGAGUACGCCUUUGUUCGCUCCACGCCACACAAUCGGGCUUCGUUUGUUAAACUUUUCUGGAAGUGCUACAAACAAAUUGGCAAAAAGGGAGAUCUGCUGAGUAUCCAGGAGUACCACUCCCUACUGGGGCUACUGUGUUCAGACUUUCCAUUCAGUAUGGUGCAGAAGACUGCCAGGAUCAUCUUGAUUGACGACGCCCUCGACUGUCUCAUCUGCUUCUCCGACUUCAUCUACGCAUUGCAGGUGCAGUUCUGUUAUGAAGAGUUCCUGGAGAAGAGUGGGGAGAUCUACCAGUCCAUCCUCCAGACACAGCGAAGUCCCCGCGACCCGGUAGUGGUGCCCUCCGCCAGCGCCGGCACCAAGAUCCUCCAGCAGAACCACCAGCCUGCCGACGGCAUCGAUGCCAUGCAGUUCUUCCGAUCACUGUACCCUCUCUGUGAGAGGGUCAGCUUCAGCACACCACCUGUCUCGGCGCUGAAGGAGAUUCUCUUCACGGUUCCCCGGGUGUCCUUCUAUGGCUUUCUAAUGGCCAUUGCCAAGAGCGAGUCCAUCAACGAGCACAUAGGUCGACUGCCACCUAAGACAGCGCUACUGGACACCGGGGAGGCGGAGAUCUCAUCAAUCCCUCCAAUCAAGACUCCCACCAGUGUUUCAAACAAAGGUAACAAAUCCCGGUCGUCUGGGGCCGUGAGUCACCGUGAAUCAGGCUCAAGGGCAUCAUACAGCUCCUCCACGUCAUCCAAUCACAGGUCAAGGUCAACCAUUGGCCUGGUCAAACACCAGAAACGCUCAACGGGAGACAUCGCUGUGGCUGACACAAGUUCUGAGACUGAUUCAUCAUCGGACUCAUCCGACACCAACUAGAUGACGAUCCAUCAGUCAGUGUACGAGACAAACUUAGCGCUACAACUAUCAUAAGUCUGUGUUAAGGUAUGGGCGCUACCGUCUGUCAGUGUACAAGACAAAUAUAGCGCUACAACUAUCAUAAGUCUGUGUUAAGGUAUGGGCGUUACCGUCUGUCAGUGUACAAGACAAAUAUAGCGCUACGACUAUCCUAAGUCUGUGUUAAGGUAUGGGAGUUACUGUCACAUUACGGCUAAGGUUGCUUUGUGGUACAUUGGAGUUACAUUCCACUGUGGUGACAGUGUACCCAUUUCUCAAAAAUACAGGACAUGUACUGUCAAGCACAGGUCCUCAGUUCUUGAGACUUCCAGGGUAUCAUUGGCAACGGUUGCUACAAGGGGAUAAGCUGACCGGAGUGAUGCUGUGUUGUUAAGUUCGUUUGUUGGUGAAUGGUUUUGUGUUGAAUGUCAUGUCUUGGGUUUUCUGAAAAACUCAAUUGUGAUAUUGCUUAUCCAUGUAUAAUAUAUCUUCAUUGACAAGAAAGUGGUUUUGUAUUUUCUGUGAUAGUCUAUCUGCAUAAAAGUGAUGAAUAUC
Molecule: unclassified non-coding RNA, 2179 nt
Filed under: Haliotis rubra (blacklip abalone)
Lineage: Eukaryota; Metazoa; Mollusca; Gastropoda; Lepetellida; Haliotidae
Description: uPF0705 protein C11orf49 homolog, transcript variant X4
Source: RNAcentral